RNAcentral lists this ribosomal RNA (571 nucleotides) under Hydraena sp. MNCN AI541. RNAcentral describes it as "eukaryotic LSU rRNA". It matches the Rfam family "Eukaryotic large subunit ribosomal RNA", at positions 683 to 1212 of the family's 3401-position model. Lineage: Eukaryota; Metazoa; Arthropoda; Insecta; Coleoptera; Hydraenidae. The record is from RNAcentral.
CGCGCGAGUCAUUGGGACUUGUGCGAAACCUAAAGGCGAAAUGAAAGUAAAGGCGCGCCUUGCGCGCGCCGAGGGCGGAUGGGCGGCGGCACGCCGCCGCCCCGCACGCCCGGGGCGUCCCGUUCUCAUCGCGAGUUGGGGCGCACCCAGAGCGCGCACGCUGGGACCCGAAAGAUGGUGAACUAUGCCUGGUCAGGACGAAGUCAGGGGAAACCCUGAUGGAGGUCCGUAGCGAUUCUGACGUGCAAAUCGAUCGUCGGAACUGGGUAUAGGGGCGAAAGACCAAUCGAAUCAUCUAGUAGCUGGUUCCCUCCGAAGUUUCCCUCAGGAUAGCUGGCGCUCGUUUUUACGAGUCUCAUCCGGUAAAGCGAAUGAUUAGAGGCAUUGGGGUCGAAACGGCCUCAACCUAUUCUCAAACUUUAAAUGGGUGAGAUCUCCGGCUUGCUCGAACUAUGAAGCCGCGAGACCUCGGAUCAGAGUGCCAAGUGGGCCACUUUUGGUAAGCAGAACUGGCGCUGUGGGAUGAACCAAACGCCGAGUUAAAGCGCCCAAAUCGACGCUUAUGGGAUAC